UACAGAGGGUGCAAGCGUUAAUCGGAAUUACUGGGCGUAAAGGGCGCGUAGGCGGAUAGUCAAGCUAGCUGUGAAAGACCUGGGCUUAACCUGGGGGUGUCAGCUAUGACUGGUUAUCUAGAGUAGAGGAGAGGGGAGUGGAAUUCACAGUGUAGCGGUGAAAUGCGUAGAUAUUGUGAGGAACAUCGAUGGCGAAGGCAGCUCUCUGGCCUUAUACUGACGCUGAGGCGCGAAAGCGUGGGUAGCGAACAGG
Molecule: unclassified non-coding RNA, 253 nt
Filed under: uncultured Gammaproteobacteria bacterium
Lineage: Bacteria; Pseudomonadati; Pseudomonadota; Gammaproteobacteria
Description: contains 16S-23S intergenic spacer region
Rfam family: Bacterial small subunit ribosomal RNA
Source: RNAcentral